AACCUUAGCAGCGCGGGUGCGGUUUGCGGUUUCCGUUGAGAGAGACAAAACCCUGCCGGUGUGGGAGCUGAGCCUCUGACCCACGGCCCAGGCCUUGCGUAAUUUCUCAGUCGUAAUCCUCUGACAACCAUUGAAGAUUCUCAUCUUUUUAAAUUGCCAGCAUUAAAAUACCUGGACCUAGGAAAAACACAAGUGCGACUUGGGACUCUUGAAAACAUCCUCCUGAUGACUCUUAAGUUGAAAAGCUUUGAAGAAGCAUCUAUAGGAAACACAAAAGGAAAAUUCAUGAAGGUGUUACAGACCCAGAAGAAGAGCACAAGCACUGAGCUGACUGUUGAACCAAAGAAAGGGGAUAUGAGGACCAAAAAGUCAGCUUUUCUGGCUUCAUAAAUGAGUAGCUAGACUUCAAUGAUGAAAGUGAUCUCAUUAGUGCACUAAAUUACAUAUUGCCAUUUUCCUCACAGGGAAAUCUAGAAAAUGCAGAAUCAGCAUUGUUACUGUUCAUUAAACUGCUUCUUUCCAAUGUGCAAAAUGGAAAUAAUUUCACUGGUAAAUUGAAAAAUGAUACAAGGAGACUCCUCCUUAAACCUUCUUCAAACAACUCAGUUUAUAAAAGUAAAUUCUGGAAAAUUUGUUAUAGGCAGAAAUUCAAAGAAAAAUUGAUGAGGGUAAAAAGAAAAAAUAGCCAUGUUUAUGCAGCCCAGCCUUUUAGGUCCCAAAUUUAAAUGCCAAAUCUUUCAAAGGAAAAUGGAUACUGCCCAACCACAGGAAAAUAGUCUGGCAGAGACUGAAGAGAAAAGGCUGCAGAGGGUGAACAGAGUCCCUAAGGAGCCAAAAAAGAUACAGAAAAGGCCCUUCAAGGAAGUGAGGAGACAGAGCAUCUGGGAGAAGCAGAGUGCCCCCCCUCUUGUGGAAACUAUUGCUGCAGAAAGGAGGGAUAAGAGACCACGCCUAAGGGAGCUGGAGCAGCUUCACAUGGUCCAGGAGCCCAGGAUGUCAGAGGAGUUCACCUUCCAAACAGAGCCCUCACUCACAAAAGAACAGAAGGCAACAGUCUCUUCUCUCCUAAUUCCAUACUCAGUGGACAGGGCUUUCAUGUCCUCCACUGCAAAACCACUCUCUGAGGUCAGAAAUAAAGCAAAAGACUUAACCUACACCAUGUUUUAGAAGAUGCAAAUGCUAGAAAUAAAAACACAGAGGCUUCUAAACCAACCACAUAGGCCAGAAAAAAUCAUCACCUUCAUUAAAAUAGGCUCUUGUGUGGUCUGUAGAAUACCGAUGUUCAAAGCGAGUCAAAAGUUCAGAAAGAAAAAUUCAUGCUUGAACAUGCUGGUUGAACACAGGCCUCCAUUCUCUACAGUGAGGAGCUUCAUAAAUUCCCCUUCACAAAGGGCCUUUUCAUCUUUGGGAGACCUCAGUUCUCAGGACAACCCUUUUUCAGAAUUAUCUGCUAUUUCAAACUUGUUACAGAGGACACUCCUGUAGAAAAACAGACAGAAGAAAAUGCUUUUGAAGGAAAUGCUCUUAUGGCAAACACGGAUGAGCCAGCGGAAACUCUCUCUGAAGCCACAAAGCAGGAAGAUGCUGCUGAUGCAGAUUCUAGUGUGGGUGCAUUCAACUUAACACCAACUGUGAAACAAACCAGUGAGAUACAAUGGGAAUACCCCAACAUGGGCACUGACACACCAACUCCCAACUCAGUCUCCAGAAUCCUCUGAGGAGGCUAGUGAUCUUCCUCCAUUGGGAGAUAGCAUUUUCACCUCUGGAUCUAGAAAUAGUGUUUGAAAUCAGUGUCCAAAUUUGCAAGAAACCACAGUUAAACAUGUGGAUGUGGAGAUUAUCAUGAUUCCACAGAACACUGUGGACUUUGAACCUAUUCCAGUCCAGCAGGACCCUUAGAACCCUACAGAUCCCACUAAGCAACUUGAAUUUUCUCCUACCCAGUCUGGACCACCUUCCCUGAAAAUGCUGAAUCCUCUCUAGCCCAGCAAGAGCCCACAAGUCAACCUUCUCCAGCCCAGCAAGGGCCCAAAGCACAACCUUCUCUAGCCCAAUUCAACAACUUGGUAAUAAGGAAGUAGCAAUCAGUGCAUCAUGAGGUAAAUGUUCCAUCUCCAAGUAUGGAGUCCAACUCCAAAAGUCACCGUGAAACAUAUUGAUCUGGAGGUUACACUAACUCCAGAGUCGUCUUCUCCAAGCCAGCAGGUCUCAGAGAGUACUGCGGAGGUUAACACCCUCAUCCACUCAACAAGAGGCUCCAGCUCAGACUUCAGAGCUCCCUGAAGACAGUGAACCUUCUCGAAGCCAGAUAGAAGCCUCAGUUUAGCCUACAAAUCCUCCUGAAGAGGUCAAACUUCCUGUUGAGCAAGAGGCUACCAUUGAAGCUCCAGAGUCCCCUAUGGAGAAUACAGCUCCAACUCUACCAAAUCAGGAGGUGACAGUUCAACCUCCAGCUCAGCAUCAAGCUCAACAGAAUAACUUGCCUAGCGAUACAGGUAAGCCUGCGGAUGUGGAAAUCACCAUAACUCCAGAACCUAACAAGGAGGCUGCAUCUUCUUUAGCCUAGCCAGAGGCCCCAGCUGAGCCUCCUCCUCCUCCUCUCUUGGGGAGGCUGAAACUUCUGGAAGCCAUCUGGAGUCCCCAGUUCAGCCUCCAGAGUAUGGUGAGGAGCUUUAACCUUCUUUAAUCCAGCAAGUAGUCUCACCUCAGCCUUCAGGCCCUUUUUCAGAGACUGAAACUUCUCCCAGUGAGCAAGAAUAGCCAGCUCAACCUUCCAAGUCUCCUGAGGAAUUGGAACCUUCUGGAAGCCAGACAGAAGCUCUAGUUCAGCCUGCAAAGCUGUCUGAGAAAGUCAAGCCUUCAGUUGAGCAAGAGGUUCCAGUUCAAGCUCUAGAGGUGACAGUUCAAGCUUCAGGUCAAAAUAAGCACAACAGUAUAACUUGCCCAGAAUAACAAGUAAGACUGUGGAUGUGGAAAUUUCCAUAACAGAGGGGAAAGGAGAAUUAAUACCUCCCCUUCUUUUUCUUAGGAGGGCUUUUUCUGGUUAAGGCAGCCAGUUUGGCUUAGGAAUAUAUAUAGACCUCUCAAUGCCACAUGCAAUCAAUGCCACAGGCAAGAAAAAUAUGGCCCAACAGCUACCUGACAAGGACUCUUCUGCUGAGGAUGAGAUUUUCAAUAAAGAUGCAGUAUAAGUCGGUCAAGCCUGUAAUCCUAGAUACUCAGGAGGAUCAUGGUUUAAAGCCAGCCUCAGCAAAUAGU
Castor canadensis (American beaver) is the source of this 3258-nucleotide non-coding RNA. Lineage: Eukaryota; Metazoa; Chordata; Mammalia; Rodentia; Castoridae. The record is from RefSeq and is a predicted model, not a curated record.